GAUGAACGCUGGCGGCGUGCCUAAUACAUGCAAGUCGAGCGAACAGACGAGGAGCUUGCUCCUUUGACGUUAGCGGCGGACGGGUGAGUAACACGUGGGUAACCUACCUAUAAGACUGGGAUAACUUCGGGAAACUGGAGCUAAUACCGGAUAAUAUUUCGAACCGCAUGGUUCGAUAGUGAAAGAUGGCUUUGCUAUCACUUAUAGAUGGACCUGCGCCGUAUUAGCUAGUUGGUAAGGUAACGGCUUACCAAGGCAACGAUACGUAGCCGACCUGAGAGGGUGAUCGGCCACACUGGAACUGAGACACGGUCCGGACUCCUACGGGAGGCAGCAGUAGGGAAUCUUCCGCAAUGGGCGAAAGCCUGACGGAGCAACGCCGCGUGAGUGAUGAAGGUCUUCGGAUCGUAAAACUCUGUUAUUAGGGAAGAACAAACGUGUAAGUAACUGUGCACGUCUUGACGGUACCUAAUCAGAAAGCCACGGCUAACUACGUGCCAGCAGCCGCGGUAAUACGUAGGUGGCAAGCGUUAUCCGGAAUUAUUGGGCGUAAAGCGCGCGUAGGCGGUUUUUUAAGUCUGAUGUGAAAGCCCACGGCUCAACCGUGGAGGGUCAUUGGAAACUGGAAAACUUGAGUGCAGAAGAGGAAAGUGGAAUUCCAUGUGUAGCGGUGAAAUGCGCAGAGAUAUGGAGGAACACCAGUGGCGAAGGCGACUUUCUGGUCUGUAACUGACGCUGAUGUGCGAAAGCGUGGGGAUCAAACAGGAUUAGAUACCCUGGUAGUCCACGCCGUAAACGAUGAGUGCUAAGUGUUAGGGGGUUUCCGCCCCUUAGUGCUGCAGCUAACGCAUUAAGCACUCCGCCUGGGGAGUACGACCGCAAGGUUGAAACUCAAAGGAAUUGACGGGGACCCGCACAAGCGGUGGAGCAUGUGGUUUAAUUCGAAGCAACGCGAAGAACCUUACCAAAUCUUGACAUCCCUUGACCCUUCUAGAGAUAGAAGUUUCCCCUUCGGGGGACAAAGUGACAGGUGGUGCAUGGUUGUCGUCAGCUCGUGUCGUGAGAUGUUGGGUUAAGUCCCGCAACGAGCGCAACCCUUAAGCUUAGUUGCCAUCAUUAAGUUGGGCACUCUAAGUUGACUGCCGGUGACAAACCGGAGGAAGGUGGGGAUGACGUCAAAUCAUCAUGCCCCUUAUGAUUUGGGCUACACACGUGCUACAAUGGACAAUACAAAGGGCAGCGAAACCGCGAGGUCAAGCAAAUCCCAUAAAGUUGUUCUCAGUUCGGAUUGUAGUCUGCAACUCGACUACAUGAAGCUGGAAUCGCUAGUAAUCGUAGAUCAGCAUGCUACGGUGAAUACGUUCCCGGGUCU
Molecule: ribosomal RNA, 1372 nt
Filed under: uncultured bacterium
Lineage: Bacteria
Description: bacterial SSU rRNA
Rfam family: Bacterial small subunit ribosomal RNA
Source: RNAcentral